Molecule: transfer RNA, 73 nt
Filed under: Methylacidiphilales bacterium
Lineage: Bacteria; Pseudomonadati; Verrucomicrobiota; Methylacidiphilae; Methylacidiphilales
Description: Candidatus Methylacidiphilales bacterium tRNA-Met
Rfam family: tRNA
About the family: Transfer RNA (tRNA) molecules are approximately 80 nucleotides in length. Their secondary structure includes four short double-helical elements and three loops (D, anti-codon, and T loops). Further hydrogen bonds mediate the characteristic L-shaped molecular structure. tRNAs have two regions of fundamental functional importance: the anti-codon, which is responsible for specific mRNA codon recognition, and the 3' end, to which the tRNAs corresponding amino acid is attached (by aminoacyl-tRNA synthetases). tRNAs cope with the degeneracy of the genetic code in two manners: having more than one tRNA (with a specific anti-codon) for a particular amino acid; and 'wobble' base-pairing, i.e. permitting non-standard base-pairing at the 3rd anti-codon position.
Source: RNAcentral
GGUGACGUAGCUCAGUUGGUAGAGUAAGAGACUCAUAAGCUCUGGGUCACAGGUUCAAGCCCUGUCGUCACCA